CGGAAUUCGGGAUAUUCAAAGUCAGAUUCGCCUUGGGUGUUGAAUUCUAGGAAGGUAUAGGCGUCAGUCCCCGUGUCGGGCUGCGACGCCGUUUCAUAGAGGUUGCUCUGCUCCGAAUCCAUGAUUUUUAGGGCAAACAGGUUUCGUGGAGUUAAUUUGCCGUCGAAUUGCAGAUUAUGGAAUAGGUUUGCAGGUGUUUCGAGAUUGGAAGAGAAGAACCAAAAAACAGAAGGUUAGGGUUAGGGUUAGGGUUUGGCGAGCGAAACGAAGGAAGUAGAGGGAGAGUAAUUGGUGCGAGAAUGUAAG
Molecule: unclassified non-coding RNA, 306 nt
Filed under: Hevea brasiliensis (rubber tree)
Lineage: Eukaryota; Viridiplantae; Streptophyta; Magnoliopsida; Malpighiales; Euphorbiaceae
Source: RNAcentral